This is a long non-coding RNA of Erpetoichthys calabaricus (reedfish), 243 nucleotides long. RefSeq lists it as uncharacterized. NCBI's taxonomy places the organism in Eukaryota, Metazoa, Chordata, Cladistia, Polypteriformes, Polypteridae. The transcript has 3 exons. The record is from RefSeq and is a predicted model, not a curated record.
GGGACAGGUGCCCAUUACAUUCAACACACCUGGGAGACAGGUGCCCAUUAUAUACAACAAACCUGGGGACAGGUGCCCAUUAUAUACAACACACCUGGGGGACAGGUGCCCAUUAUAUACAACACACCUGGGGGACAGGUGCCCAUUACAUAGAACACACCUGGGGGACAGGUGCCCAUUACAUAGAACACACCUGGGAGACAGGUGCCCAUUAAAUACAACACAUCUGGGGACAGAUGCCCA